UACGAAGGGUGCAAGCGUUGUUCGGAUUUAUUGGGCGUAAAGCGCGCGUAGGCGGACCUGCAAGUCAGAUGUGAAAUCUCGGGGCUCAACCUCGAAACUGCGUCUGAAACUACAGGUCUAGAAUCUUGGAGGGGGAAGGGGAAUUUCUCAUGUAGGGGUAAAAUCCGUAGAUAUGAGAAGGAACACCAGAGGCGAAGGCGCCUUCCUGGACAAGUAUUGACGCUGAGGCGCGAAAGCGUGGGGAGCAAACAGG
RNAcentral lists this ribosomal RNA (253 nucleotides) under uncultured bacterium. RNAcentral describes it as "partial 16S ribosomal RNA". It matches the Rfam family "Bacterial small subunit ribosomal RNA", at positions 524 to 776 of the family's 1533-position model. The record is from RNAcentral.